Molecule: non-coding RNA, 867 nt
Organism: Triticum urartu
Lineage: Eukaryota; Viridiplantae; Streptophyta; Magnoliopsida; Poales; Poaceae
Source: RefSeq, a predicted model, not a curated record
AUUUCCUCAUCACCCACCUCCUCGAACCGCGAUUGAACCCUAGCCGUCACUCCCCGCCAGCCAUCCUCCCUGCCCGUCGGCCGCCGCCACGCCAUCACCGCCACCUACCCGACGCGUUGUGGAGGAAGCGACCAGAGAGGGAGGGCGUCGCCGGCGUGUGCGCGUGCUUCCACGGGUUCUCGUCGCGGUCGCCGGAGCCGUGGUCAACCGCGUCGGGGAGGAUGGGCGCCACAUCGCGGUCGCCGAAUCCGUUGGCUGCGAGUCCGGGCGCGUCGGAUCCGGUGGCUAUUAGGAGGCAGCGCUCGGAGGAGGUCGGACGCAAGAGGCCAGCGCGCGGAAGAGGCCGGGGCAUGGAGGCAGCGCUCGGAGCUCAGCUGCGGCGACGAGCUGUGCUACUGCCUUGGCUACAACCUCGUAGGUUCAUCUCCAAUGGCAAAUCCAUAGCUUUGUGCUAAAGGUUCAGGCAGAUGGAAGCAUUAGCAAUUCCCUCGACGUAGCUCCCGAUUGGGCCUGAACCACAACCAGCUAAGGGGACAUUUCUACAGAUCGUUUCUAUCUGAUUUCCGACAUUUUCAGUUUUUGGAACACCCAGAAUGGAUAUAUUGAGUGUCCCUCUUGCUGCUAAACACAAUACAGUUGAGAUUAUGUCCCUACUGAGAUUCUUAAAGAACAUGGUACACCGGAAUAGCUUCAGAUCAAAGUGAGCUGCACAUUUCAACACAUAUAACUCAGCCGAUGGACCUUCUUAUCAUGAAACACCAUGGCAAUCGAGCUGUCGUCCGUCCAUCCCUCCCUCCUCGCGCCCGGAACCCUAGCUCGCGGCCAUGGCGACCGUGCAUGUCGCAGGCAGUGCAGGAUCUUCAGCAC